UGGGGAAUCUUGCGCAAUGGACGAAAGUCUGACGCAGCAACGCCGCGUGGGUGAUGAAGGUCUUCGGAUCGUAAAGCCCUGUCGCCAGGGAAGAUGCCAUUUGGUUUUAACAAAGCCAAGAGGUGACGGUACCUGGAAAGGAAGCACCGGCUAACUCUGUGCCAGCAGCCGCGGUAAUACAGAGGGUGCAAGCGUUGUUCGGAAUUAUUGGGCGUAAAGGGAGUGUAGGCGGUUUGUUAAGUCUUCUGUGAAAUCUACGGGCUCAGCCUGUAACGUGCAGAGGAAACUGGCGAACUAGAGUGUCGGAGAGGAUAGUGGAAUACCCGGUGUAGAGGUGAAAUUCGUAGAGAUCGGGUGGAACACCAGUGGCGAAGGCGACUAUCUGGCUGACAACUGACGCUGAGACUCGAAAGCAUGGGGAGCAAACAG
RNAcentral lists this ribosomal RNA (429 nucleotides) under uncultured bacterium. Its description in RNAcentral is "bacterial SSU rRNA". It matches the Rfam family "Bacterial small subunit ribosomal RNA", at positions 355 to 775 of the family's 1533-position model. The record is from RNAcentral.